AAGAGGGCUUUGCGCCUU
Molecule: small nuclear RNA, 18 nt
Filed under: Arabidopsis thaliana (thale cress)
Lineage: Eukaryota; Viridiplantae; Streptophyta; Magnoliopsida; Brassicales; Brassicaceae
Description: snRNA_13476
Source: RNAcentral